Molecule: long non-coding RNA, 2668 nt
Filed under: Fragaria vesca (wild strawberry)
Lineage: Eukaryota; Viridiplantae; Streptophyta; Magnoliopsida; Rosales; Rosaceae
Description: long non-coding RNA (FVES_LNC002802)
Source: RNAcentral
CUCUCUCUCUAGAUACCCAGCAAAAUGUAGAGAGAGAAAGCUCCACCAAUCAAUCAACCAUGGUGUCCUCCUCUCAAAACACCAAUAAAAGCCCUCCAUUCCCACCUCGCCGCAAAGCUCACCAACCUCACAAUUCCACCUUCUGUCAGGACCCACCCCGAAUUUCACCCUGAAACCCGAAGUAAAUCCUGCGGGGAUCACCUCCAAGGAAAGUUUAUCGAAAAUUCGGCAUAACCUCUCUUGAAAAUGGACGACCCUUCCUAAUAAAACCUGCAUACACUUCUGAUAAACCAAAACCAACCUUAAACUCCUGGAGCCUUCGUGCUCUCCCAAAUCACAACAUCUCCAAAUUAUUUACUAACUUUAAUAAGAAUAAUCCCACAACCAACAAUCAUAGUUCAGAGCAAUUCUAAUUGAGAGGAAAUGAACUAGAAAUUUAGAAAUGAGCGGAAGCUAUACUAUUGACUAUGCCUCUUCUCCAUGUACGUCCGACCUCAACUAUGCUAACCUGCAAACUGGGCAUUUUUAAAACGAAGGGCCUAGGGGAAAACAUUUGAAAACGUUAGAGUGAGUGGACAAAAGUAAGUUUAACAAAAACGAGCAACAAAAAUCUUUAUGCUUUCCCAAUUGAUUUCCAUAGAAAUUAUAUUGCAUGCGACAGCUCAAAAAGCUCUCAACAAAAUUUUCCGAAAUUAUCAAAACGUGACUAGCCGCGUUAGUCCCCAACACCUCAUAAAAAUAGAGCCUCUCAAGCUAAAAUAAAAUAUGUAUGUAUUACACUCGUCAUAUCCCUUGUAUGAAUUUUCUUGAAACAACAAAGACAAAUAGAAAUUCACAUAAGGCUACGACGCUUGCGUCUAACGCUCACGUCGCACCAUAAUGAAAUUUUAUCUCAUUAUAAUGGAAAAGACGGUGUAUAUGUAUACGCGCAUAUCCCCUAUAUAAAUUAUUAUAAUUAUAUAGGGUUACGACGAUUGUGUCUAACGCUCACGUCGCACCAUAAUGAAAUUUUUCCUCAUUAUGGUGGAAAAGCACGUAUAGCUAGCUAGCAUUUCUUUAUAUACAUAUUAUUCUCAUAAUCAUCCAAAUACAUAUCCACCGAAAAUGUCUUUUUCGGUAACUCUCCAAAAUAAUAAAAAUUGCCAAUUACAAAAGAGGCUAUAAAAGUAUGGCUCUACCGAAAGAUCCCAUUUUCUGUAACUUUUCAAAUAGCGAAGUUAACAAAUAAAAUAUGAAUAAUCACUUCUGAAAAUACUUCGCAGAAAUCAAUCGUAAAAUGAAAUUAUUCCACAAAUUAAGAUUCAAUAAUAUAAAAAUCAACCAUCAAUAAAUAUGAGACCAUCACAUGCAUUUAAUUUAAAACAAACGUCCACUCAUAACUUUAGGCAUAAGCUUAGGCAUAAGCCCGACAAAAUCCAAUUCGGCACUCAAGUGAUUCGGCAUUCAAGUGAGGUUUCCUCAAAACCUGACACAAAAACCAUGCUUAGGACCACACUUCAAUUUCAGAAUAAAUAAUACUUAGAUAUAUAACUCAAAACUCUUCCGCCUAACCCACUACCCCUUCUAGGGUUAAGCUUAUCAGAUUCACGCCAAAAUCCAACCACAGCCUUAUUUCCUUUAUUUCAACAUUCUAAAACAAUAAUAAGAAAAAUCCAACGGUCUGAUUCUUCCCCAUUAAUCGCCAAAUUCACCGAUCUUUCAAAAAUCCAAAACCUAUUCAAAACUCCUCCAAAAAUUCCAAACUUCAUACCAAUAACUCCCCUUAAUAUAACACACUUAAAACCAUGAAAACCCCCUUAACAGCAGCGGCGGCCUGCGGCCGACUCCGGCGACCCCAAUGCCUACCAAAAUUUAACAGCAUCUUCCUCUCAACCCCCUCUACGACUUUGCUAACUAGCACAAACACAAAUUCCAAGCCUAGAUAGGGUAAUCGACUUAAAACAGUAAAUUGAGCCCUAGAGUUUCAAUCAUUGAUUCCUCCUUACCAAGUACUAAUCGAACCAAAACCUUUCGAGGGAUUACCACCCUAGCUGAGAGUUACAAGACGAGCCAAAGAUCGUUGGCUAUGGCGGCCGGAGGAGGGAGCUCCGACGAGAGGGCAGCCAGACUUCCAAAGGCGAUUUCCUCCACACGGCAGCGGUAGGGGUUCGGUCACCUACCCAGAAAUGGAGAGGAGGAGACAGCCGACUGAAAGGGACCGGAGCGGCGGUCUGCGGUGGCCGGACGGUCGCGCUGAAGAUCCGGCAGGGAAAGGGAGUCGGGAAAAGGAGAGAGAAGAGAAAGAGAAGAAAAGGAGAAGGAAGGGAAUGGGCCUUUUAACCGGUCCUCAAACCCAAUUAAUCCCAACCUAACACCAAAAAUUUACACCACAAAAUAAAUCAAAUAAUACCCUAAUAAAAAUUACCUUUUACUAGCUAAAAUUUACCAUUUUACCAUCGUCACAAUUUUCUCCUACGAUUAUUUCUACCGAAAUAAUCGUCCCUCAAAACCCUUCUAGGGACCAAUUAAAUCAUAACUCAUUGACAGAGACUGUAGAAUCUUUAUUAAUACCAAGCUAGUAAAUAAGGUAAAAAUUUAAGGGUCGGGAUGUGACACUUUCCUCCUCCUCCUCAUCUCCGCCUCAAGACUUCGACUUCAACGACGUCUUCGGCCCCCCAACCGCCUCCAG